CGCGCUGUGUUGGCCGGUGGGAGCGUCGGGGAGAAGCAGGAGGGGGAGCGGGGCUCCCGGAGCGGAGGGCGGCCGUUCUCUGAGGGGCAGAGAGGAGUCGCCCGAGAGGUCCACACUGAAUCUUCAGCCCACCUACUUGAAGAUAAGGAAACCAGGAGCCUGAGUGACCUGCCCCGGCCCACCCCACUGACGGGCGCAGCAGAGUCCGGGUUCAAGCCCUGGCCGUGUGACUCCAGACCUCCGGUCCUCACCCCCGGUUAGUGCCUGUCGCCCUGCCGGGAAGAUGAACCCACUCUGCGUCGGGGUGGCCCCGCAGCCGUCAGAAAGUGCAGGUCACCACGCCACUGGCCAUGUGUUCUGCAGACUUCCCCUACGGGGAAUGCCCACCGUGCUCUCGCCGACAAGGGUCAGCCCAGGAACUGGCAGCAGCAGCUCCAGGGGUUGGCGGGGCUGCUGACCUGCUGACCCAGGCAGAGGUCACCAAGCUGCCGGCCCUGACCUCACCCGGGACAGCAGACCGCUCUUUCCAGAACGUCGGCCUCCUGCUGCUUGACUCCCACAGCCGACCUGGGGUCCAGGGCAGACAAGCCUCACCCUGCAAGGCUCUUCAUAUCCUGGCACUUCAGGACUGUAAGCAGGACCUCUGACCUCCUAGCCCAGGAGAGCUACUUCCAUCCCAGUCCUGUUCAUCCUGAACGUGAUCUUGACCACCUGCACCGCACUCAGCAUUUCUGCUAAGAAGCCAUUAGACCGACCUCCUGCAUCUGGUCCCAUCUUCCCUCCCACUUAGAAUUUUCUCUUUGGCUUUUCAGCUCUGCAGCCACUCCUUCUCUCCCCACCCCUCCCUACACCAGAUCGAUGGAUGGCUGUUCCUCCUUUCUCAGCCUCAGCUAAGUCACCUGCUGAGGACGCGCCCAUCUCUUAGUCGCUUACUGCGCCCUCUGCUCUCAGUUACAGACUGUAAUCCUGUGUGUUUAUUUGUAUGGUGUCUGCUCCCCCCAUGUUUCUGGCAGGCACAGUGCCUGGCAGGGAAUAGACAAUCAAUUAGAAGUUGUUGAAUAAAUGAACCAGUGAGUGAAUGAACUGAAAAAGGAAAGAACACCUUAGUUUUUCUUCAAAUGAAUGUCUGCCAAAAUCUCUCAUGUCUUACACUUGUCUGAGUGAUUUUGUUAAAACUACAUCAUCCAACAGUUAACCUUCAUUCAUGCGUCUUUCAGGUCUUUUUCUAUGUAUUAUAGCUGUACAUACACAAAGUACCUAUGGAAGUCCCCUUUGUGGGAAAAUGUUAACUGUUUUAUAUGACAUGAUACGAUAUAUGUAAGGUAUCUCCCAGAGAGUAUAUAUUAUGUUACAUAUAAUACCUGUGCCACAUGUGUGUAUUAUCCCAAAGAAUAUAUUGUAUAUGUUUUUGUGCAAUUUCUUUUCUUGUUAAGCCACACACCAUGAAAGUCUCCCCCCACUAUUGCCUGUAGAUCUGGCUCAUUUUGUUAACAACUACAUAUUAUUUUUCAAAAUAAAAAUUAAAGUACUUGCUCUUUUCUUAUGGGA
Molecule: non-coding RNA, 1548 nt
Organism: Manis javanica (Malayan pangolin)
Lineage: Eukaryota; Metazoa; Chordata; Mammalia; Pholidota; Manidae
Source: RefSeq, a predicted model, not a curated record